Molecule: ribosomal RNA, 301 nt
Filed under: uncultured bacterium
Lineage: Bacteria
Description: partial 16S ribosomal RNA
Rfam family: Bacterial small subunit ribosomal RNA
Source: RNAcentral
CAGCCGCCGCGGGAAUACGAAGGGUGCAAGCGUUAAUCAGAAUUACUGGGCGUAAGGCGUGCGUAGGCGGUGAGUUAAGUCUGCUGUGAAAUCCCCGGGCUCAACCUGGGAAUGGCAGUGGAUACUGGCUCGCUAGAGUGUGUCAGAGGAUGGUGGAAUUCCCGGUGUAGCGGUGAAAUGCGUAGAGAUCGGGAGGAACAUCAGUGGCGAAGGCGGCCAUCUGGGACAACACUGACGCUGAGGCACGAAAGCGUGGGGAGCAAACAGGAUUAGAUACCCGCGUAGUCCCUGUCUCUUAUAC